RNAcentral lists this ribosomal RNA (297 nucleotides) under uncultured eukaryote. RNAcentral describes it as "partial 18S ribosomal RNA". It matches the Rfam family "Eukaryotic small subunit ribosomal RNA", at positions 1470 to 1796 of the family's 1831-position model. The record is from RNAcentral.
CUCUUAGACGCUCUAGGCGGCACGCGCGCUACAAUGGGUGGUAGAACGUGUAACUGCUCCCGAAAGGGAGGGUGAACCACGAAUACUUACCCGUGAAUGGGAUAGUUUGUUGCAAUUUUCGGACUUGAACUAGGAAUCCCUUGUAAGAAUGCUCAAGAAUAGCGUGCUGAAUACGUCCCUGCCGUUUGUACACACCGCCCGUCGUUUCUUCCGACUGAUACUCAUUGUGAGUUGCAAGGAUUCUUAUUGAAAAAUUGCUGCGAAUGCUUUGUAUUGGAGGAAGAAAAAGUCGUAACA